Molecule: ribosomal RNA, 914 nt
Filed under: uncultured bacterium
Lineage: Bacteria
Description: bacterial SSU rRNA
Rfam family: Bacterial small subunit ribosomal RNA
Source: RNAcentral
AGAGUUUGAUCAUGGCUCAGAUUGAACGCUGGCGGCAGGCUUAACACAUGCAAGUCGAGCGGAUGAAAGUAGCUUGCUACUGGAUUCAGCGGCGGACGGGUGAGUAAUACUUAGGAAUCUGCCUAUUAGUGGGGGACAACAUCUCGAAAGGGAUGCUAAUACCGCAUACGUCCUACGGGAGAAAGCAGGGGAUCUUCGGACCUUGCGCUAAUAGACGAGCCUAAGUCGGAUUAGCUAGUUGGUGGGGUAAAGGCCUACCAAGGCGACGAUCUGUAGCGGGUCUGAGAGGAUGAUCCGCCACACUGGGACUGAGACACGGCCCAGACUCCUACGGGAGGCAGCAGUGGGGAAUAUUGGACAAUGGGCGCAAGCCUGAUCCAGCCAUGCCGCGUGUGUGAAGAAGGCCUUUUGGUUGUAAAGCACUUUAAGCGAGGAGGAGGCUCCUAUAGAUAAUACCUAUAGUGAGUGGACGUUACUCGCAGAAUAAGCACCGGCUAACUCUGUGCCAGCAGCCGCGGUAAUACAGAGGGUGCGAGCGUUAAUCGGAUUUACUGGGCGUAAAGCGUGCGUAGGCGGCUAAUUAAGUCGGAUGUGAAAUCCCCGAGCUCAACUUGGGAAUUGCAUUCGAUACUGGUUAGCUAGAGUAUGGGAGAGGAUGGUAGAAUUCCAGGUGUAGCGGUGAAAUGCGUAGAGAUCUGGAGGAAUACCGAUGGCGAAGGCAGCCAUCUGGCCUAAUACUGACGCUGAGGUACGAAAGCAUGGGGAGCAAACAGGAUUAGAUACCCUGGUAGUCCGUGCCGUAAACGAUGUCUACUAGCCGUUGGGGCCUUUGAGGCUUUAGUGGCGCAGCUAACGCGAUAAGUAGACCGCCUGGGGAGUACGGUCGCAAGACUAAAACUCAAAUGAAUUGACGG